UGCAGAUGGCACCAAGCUGAGGGCUCAGGCUGAUGUGACAGAAGGAACGGAUGCCAUCCAAAGGGACCUGGAUAGCACUGAGAAGUGGACUCAGAGAAAAAUACUUGGAGGAUAAGAAGGGAAGGAGAUCUUCGAGCUCUAGGAUUUCUGAAGUAGACAGAAUGAGAGGAAACAAUGCAAUAUGAGGAACGAACAGAAAGACAUCGUGGGCUGUUUGUUCUAGUCAGCCCAUGCCAGAGGAUGUGGUCAUUGUACACAAUCACUGAAUGAAAUGAAAAAGCGUCCUGGCAAAGGAAGAAAGAGAAGGGAUAAACAUGGGAACCCAGGGAUUUGUGCUGCUCUGGUAUCUCGUAGAAAAUAAUAAUUAUGAAUGGCUAAACUUAUGAAAAAAACCCACAGAUGUAUAGGAAACUGGAA
Long non-coding RNA from Phasianus colchicus (ring-necked pheasant), 417 nucleotides. RefSeq lists it as uncharacterized. Lineage: Eukaryota; Metazoa; Chordata; Aves; Galliformes; Phasianidae. The record is from RefSeq and is a predicted model, not a curated record.